GGGGGUGUAGUUCAGUGGUAAAGCGUUCGCUUCGCAUGUGAAAAGCCCGGGGUUCGAUCUCCCGCACCUCCA
This is a non-coding RNA of Uloborus diversus, 72 nucleotides long. Lineage: Eukaryota; Metazoa; Arthropoda; Arachnida; Araneae; Uloboridae. The record is from the annotation of a RefSeq genome assembly.